Molecule: non-coding RNA, 1116 nt
Organism: Arachis ipaensis
Lineage: Eukaryota; Viridiplantae; Streptophyta; Magnoliopsida; Fabales; Fabaceae
Source: RefSeq, a predicted model, not a curated record
AAACCACUCACAACCGUUCUUACUCCUCCUCACACUGGGAAAAACGCUGUAAAUCCUAUCUCACUCCUCUUGAGACCUCAAUCAUCUCUUGCUCUGCCUUCAGAUUCAAAUUCUCGAUUUCACUCUCCACUGCGAUCUAAAUUAUCGCUGCUCGUUGUUGCUGCCAAUGCUUGCCGCAUUAGCUAUCGUCAUUGUCAUCAUCGAUGUGUAGGUGGCCCUCAAUUGCUCCUGGCUUUGUAGUCAUCGUAGAACCGCCUCCGAUCUCGGUCACCGCCCUCAGGCAUCGUCUUUGUCACCGCAAUCGCAAACGUCGCUGCUGAUGAUCCGGCGAGAAAAGCGGGUUUGCUGGACUCGUCAACAGAUGUUCUGAUUUCUCUAUUAUUUUUGCAAUCUGCUACUUUCCUCGGAAUUGUUUCUGAGAUUUCACAAAGUCUAUUGGAGGUGAAGCUUAAGCAAUGCAGGUUCAUGUUGUUUACUACUUGUCCCGUAAUGGUCCUCUAGAGCAUCCCCAUUACAUUGAAAUCACCCUUUUCCCCAAUGACCCUCUCCGUCUGAAAGAUGUGUUCAAGCGGCUCAUAGUGCUGAGAGGCAGUGCUAUGCCCUUACAAUAUUCAUGGUCUUGUAAAAGAUUUUCUUGAGCAAAAUAUAUAUACCCAAAAAGAAAAAGUUAUCAAUUUUGCGUGGGUGCAUGUAUUUGAGUGCCUAGCCGAGCAGCUGGUCUGUAGCAGGGGCAUUCUACCAUAUUGGCAGGGUCAAUAGCUUGGUUCUCCUUUCUGAAGACGCUAUGGUUUACUUGGAUUAAAUGGAUGUGGAAAAUCUACUUUGCUUACGGCAAUAGGUUUCCAUGAACUUCUGAUUCUUGAGCACAUGGAUAUCUAUCACCUUAGCAGGGAAAUUGAAGCCACAGAUAUGUCUGUGUUGGAGGCAGUCAUAAACUGCGACGAGGAAAGAUUGAAGUUGGAAAAAGAAGCGGAAGCUUUGGCUGCUCAUGUUUGUUUUAAGUAGUAAAGCAGCUGACUAGUACCCCAUUUGUUAUGUUAUUUGGAUGCGUUGCUAACUUUCUCCAAGUGACUUUAAUUUCAGGACGAUGGUGGUGGUAAAACUCUUUAACGAAUU